Dicentrarchus labrax (European seabass) is the source of this 487-nucleotide long non-coding RNA. RefSeq lists it as uncharacterized. The transcript has 3 exons. Lineage: Eukaryota; Metazoa; Chordata; Actinopteri; Moronidae. The record is from RefSeq and is a predicted model, not a curated record.
AUGAGUACAUUAUUAAAAGUAAGGCAAACAUCUGUUUUUAUGAUUUAUGCUUUGGGAUGUGCUGUCAUUGUGAGUAAUAUUUAUAUUUAUAUUUUUUCAGAUUCUCAAAGGAUGCAAUUGCCAGAAGCUCCCAGCCCAUCUCCAACUCCACAGUCUACCUGCUCUCCCUCCCAACCCUCUUCUCCUCCUCAUCCUCCAGACUCUUCCACCUUUCUCCCAUCUACUUCUCAUCCCCAAAUGGACUAUGAGGAGGAGACUUACACCCUAACCCUCGUCCCUGUCCGGCCUCCAAGCACCGCCUCAGCAUCUCCCUCUCAAAAAACCAUGACUGAAAGUGUGUCUGCACAGUGCUCCUGCUCUCCCACACCUACUCUCUCCCUGACCAGUGCAACAGGUGAAGGGAAGAAAAAGAGGAAGAGAGGCUGCUGAAAAUGUUUGAAGCAAAAAAUAUUUCACUACAAUGAAAUAAAAGAAACAACUAAAGGAG